Rhopilema esculentum is the source of this 3176-nucleotide RNA transcript. It is a transcript of the gene named septin-7, with no coding region annotated. The record is from RefSeq and is a predicted model, not a curated record. NCBI's taxonomy places the organism in Eukaryota, Metazoa, Cnidaria, Scyphozoa, Rhizostomeae, Rhizostomatidae.
UUGACCAACCAAUAGCAUGAUUCGUGCACAACGAUCUGACAACUUGUUCCCAAAACAAAGAACUGGAUUGUUAACCGCAAAUUCCAACACAGCCCACCUGAAGUAAAAUCAAAGGCCUUUGUGGUUUGGUUCUAAUGUCGGCAACUUUUGCUGCGCUUGUGUUUCAGAAGCUAUGUCAUUGCUACGAGCUUUACUUCAUGCAAAUCUGCAGCAGAGAAUGAGAAACUGACAACUUUAAAGGAGGAUUUGGUGCAAUUCCUGUCGUGUUCGUCUAAUAUCCAGAUUAACGCUUGCAGGCACUUAAGUCGCUGAUAUUUGGUCAUUAAUACACUUUAUAACUUCAAACAAUGGAUGAACACAGACUUAGCAACGGCGAUGCAAUUGACGCGUCCAAUGGUAAAGUUUCGUUCAAUUUCACACCUAUUAGAGCCCGUUCUGCACAGGAUUUGUCCCAAAAAUUAGCACCAGCAUUUGCGCCAGUCCCACAAAGUCCCACAACCCCAAUCAUGUUCCAAGAGCCACAAACUUCCAAGGCACCGAAAAAGGGCCCUGAAAACUAUGUCGGAUUUGCGAAUUUACCGAAUCAAGUGUUCAGAAAAAGUGUAAAGCGCGGGUUUCAAUUCACCCUUAUGAUUGUCGGUGAAAGUGGCCUUGGAAAAUCAACUCUUCUCAACUCAUUGUUUCUGAGUGAUUUGUAUGUCAACACACCCUACCAAGAUGCAUCAUUACGCCUGUCAAGAUCUAUGGAGGUACGGGAAUCAUCGUGUGAGUUAAAGGAAGGUGGUGUUAGACUACAACUGACAAUAGUAGAUACACCUGGAUUUGGAGACAACAUAGAUAAUACUGAUUGCUGGAAUGCAGUUAUAAAAUAUAUUGAUAACAAGUUUGAAGAUUACUUAAACGCAGAGUCAAGAGUCAAUAGAACAUCAUUUCAAGAUACACGAGUUCAUUGCUGUCUGUAUUUCAUAGCACCAACUGGCCAUGGAUUGAAGCCUCUCGAUAUCGAAUUUAUGAAAAAACUACACGGAAAGGUCAACAUCGUACCCGUUAUUGCAAAGGCAGACACGUUAACAGGAGAAGAAUGUCAAAAAUUUAAGCAAAGAAUAUUGAAGGAGAUCACGGACCAGAAUAUCAAUAUAUACAAAUUCCCACCACUAGGAGAUGACGAGUCGGAAAGUGAAUUAAUCGAACUCAGGGAACGAAUCCCAUUUGCUGUUGUCGGUAGCAACGCUGUCAUCGAAGUUGGCGGGAAGAAGAUCAGGGGGCGAAAAUACCCUUGGGGUAUCGUAGAGGUUGAGAAUAUCGAGCACUGUGACUUCAUUGCAUUACGAAAUCUUUUAAUAAGGACCCACAUGCAAGACCUUAUUGACGUGACUAACGAUGUCCAUUAUGAGAAUUACCGCAGCCAGCGACUGUCAGUACUCACGGGAGGAGGGACAACGAUCACCACGAGUGCUGCCUUGAAUAUCAACCCGGUUGAACAGCUAGAAAAGGACAAGGAAGAACAAGAAAGAAAACUGAAGAAAAUGGAGAAGGAAAUGGAACAAGUUUUCGAAAUGAAAGUGAAAGAAAAGAAAAAGAAACUGAAGGAUUCAGAGGGAGAGUUUAAUCGAAAGUACGAAAUCACAGCACGUGGUCUGGAACAACAGACAAAAGAGAUCGAGGAAAAGAAGAAGCUGCUUGAAAGAGAACGAGAGGAGUUCGAAAGCCAUUACAACCUGCAAGAUGGACUCAACAAUUCCAGGUCCUCCAGUAAAUCUUCUUUGAAUUCAUGUCCAAAGUUCGGCUCGUUGAGGCGCAAUAAAUCAGGCAGUGAUAAAAAUAGUAAUGGUGUGUCUCGUAGCUCCUCUUUGAAAUGGAGCUUUGGAAGAAGAAAUAAAAACAGUUAAAUUUAAAGAUUAUAAAAGGAAGUCAAGCCUACACAAAACUGCCAAAUAUUCCCCGGAGGACAUGAAAAAAGACAAAAAGAAAGGAAAGAAGUCGCAUUUGUUUUAAUGCUUGCAUGGAAAAUAAAGUCUUCAAUACGUUUAGUACCAGGAAACGAGGCUCGUCACAACAUACAUGAAGCAGUCUACAAUAAUACCCAAACGUAUCAUAUAAAGAUUGGUAAGACGAAGAUAUGGACGAAAUGAAAUGAAUUCUUCUGUUAAGAUUGUUGUAUCGUAGUACUAUGUUAAAAUGUGCCAUUUUUGUCCGUCGACAGUUUUCCAGAUCUCACCUUAUGCUCUAUGCUUAAACGUGACAGUCCUUUGAUAAACAUAGAUGUGAAUGCUGCCAUGUCAAUCUUAACUGUUGAGGUUAUUCUGUUAAUGUGACCCAGCUCCUAAAGAAAUUUCCCAUUCAAGGCCAUCUCUGCUCAAAGCUUUUUUCUAGAGGAUAGGUUGAAUUGAGAUUUGGGUAGCUGGAUCCAAGCAAGCUUAUAGAACGGCUUAAAAUAGCACGAAAUUAAAUUACCCUCUUCGUGGUAGCUAUCAAAGCGCAAAGUACUCACGUGACGUCAUAUGCAUUGUUUUGCUGAUGUAAGUUACACAGAAGGCAAUAGGCUGCAGCUGUCUGCAAACAGAUAGGGAUAUAACCAAUCCACACUAGUUUUAGUUUAAUAUCCAUUCAAGAAUAUUGUGAUAAGUGUCCUUCCAAUUGGGCGAUUGAAUUUUCUGGAGAGCAAUCAAUCUGUUCCGGGGAAGUAAAGCUUGUGGUAACUUUGUUGAAUGAUAUCAUGUUAGCCAUAACGUAAAUGAAAGUUAACCACAGUCAGCAUAAUUUACUGGGUAAAACGCUUCUCAAACUAUCACGAUAGACGAACAAGAGCCUUCGACACCAGAAUAGUGAGCAAAGAACCUUCAGAAACCAGCUUAGUCUUUAAGCUUCAAUUUUAAGUCUAGUCAUUCUCAUGGUGACUCAUGAAAGAGUGGAUUCCAGAUAUUGAAGUAAGUUGCCAGUCUUAGAAUGGAGUUGCUGUAUUUGAUGAUGUAAUGCAAGAGUAAUUUAAUCAUAGGUCUAUAACCUAUAGGUCUAUUUGUAUCAUCUAUUUGUAUAGCAUGAAGGCUUCUCUUUACUGCUUGCGCAAAAUGAUCAAAAGUGUCAUCUGUGUAAUCAUUAUUAUUAUUAUUAUUACCUAGAAUUCGUUUCAGUUGUUUUUGAUUUAAAUGAAUAUAUGAAUAAACUUGCAAAAGAGA